RNAcentral lists this transfer RNA (77 nucleotides) under Pseudomonas extremorientalis. RNAcentral's name for it is "tRNA-Ile". It matches the Rfam family "tRNA". From Rfam's summary of the family: Transfer RNA (tRNA) molecules are approximately 80 nucleotides in length. Their secondary structure includes four short double-helical elements and three loops (D, anti-codon, and T loops). RNAcentral also lists the same sequence under 3 other names. Lineage: Bacteria; Pseudomonadati; Pseudomonadota; Gammaproteobacteria; Pseudomonadales; Pseudomonadaceae. The record is from RNAcentral.
GGGCCUAUAGCUCAGUUGGUUAGAGCAGUGGACUCAUAAUCCAUUGGUCGUAGGUUCAAGUCCUACUGGGCCCACCA